RNAcentral lists this long non-coding RNA (297 nucleotides) under Felis catus (domestic cat). RNAcentral describes it as "lncRNA (ENSFCAG00000050303.1)". Lineage: Eukaryota; Metazoa; Chordata; Mammalia; Carnivora; Felidae. The record is from RNAcentral.
AUGAACAACUUUAAUUCAGAGUUUAGAACCUUUCAGAAGACCCCCAGGCUUCCAGAUUUGCAGAUCACCAAGAUAAUGAGUGGCUGCACCAGCUUGCAUUCCCAUGAAGCACUUCCUUUCACAGGCUUCAUUCUAACCUAUCGAUUUUUAUCGUCAAUGAAAUGUAAGUGCCAUCCGACACCGUAUUCCACCGGAGCUGAUCAGUUGUCUGACACAUCGAGGGACAUGUGAGAUCAAUGGCUCCAGAGUUAUAGAAGAGAAUCAAACUGUAACAUCCCACCUCCCCUAAAUUGCUAA